UUAACGACUCUCGGCAACGGAUAUCUCGGCUCUCGCAUCGAUGAAGAACGUAGCGAAAUGCGAUACUUGGUGUGAAUUGCAGAAUCCCGUGAACCAUCGAGUCUUUGAACGCAAGUUGCGCCCGAGGCCGUCAGGUUGAGGGCACGCCUGCCUGGGCGUCACGC
This 164-nucleotide ribosomal RNA is filed under the name Pouzolzia zeylanica. RNAcentral describes it as "5.8S ribosomal RNA". It matches the Rfam family "5.8S ribosomal RNA". From Rfam's summary of the family: 5.8S ribosomal RNA (5.8S rRNA) is a component of the large subunit of the eukaryotic ribosome. The record is from RNAcentral. Lineage: Eukaryota; Viridiplantae; Streptophyta; Magnoliopsida; Rosales; Urticaceae.